RNAcentral lists this ribosomal RNA (253 nucleotides) under uncultured bacterium. RNAcentral describes it as "partial 16S ribosomal RNA". It matches the Rfam family "Bacterial small subunit ribosomal RNA", at positions 524 to 776 of the family's 1533-position model. The record is from RNAcentral.
UACGUAGGGGGCAAGCGUUGUCCGGAAUUAUUGGGCGUAAAGAGCGCGUAGGCGGUCCGAUAAGUCGGCUGUGAAAGUCAGGGGCUCAACCCUUGAAAGCCGGCCGAUACUGUCGGACUAGAGUCCGGAAGAGGCAAGUGGAAUUCCUGGUGUAGCGGUGAAAUGCGCAGAUAUCAGGAGGAACACCAAUUGCGAAGGCAGCUCGCUGGGACGUUACUGACGCUGAGACGCGAAAGCGUGGGGAGCAAACAGG